GAUUAAGCCAUGCAUGUGUAAGUGUAGAUAGUAUACUUUGGAACUGCGAAUGGCUCAUUAUAUCAGUUAUAGUUUAUUUGGUGAAAUGUACUACUUGGAUAACCGUAGUAAUUCUAGGGCUAAUACAUGAUCAAAUCCUCUUCGGAGGUGUGUUUAUUAGAAUGAAAACCAUAUGCUUCGGCAUGAUAGUGAGUAAUAGUAACCUAUCGUAUCGCAUGCAAUUGUAGCGAUAAGUCUUUCAAGUUUCUGCCCUAUCAGCUUUCGAUGGUAGUCCAUGGGCCUACCAUG
RNAcentral lists this ribosomal RNA (288 nucleotides) under Blastocystis hominis. Its description in RNAcentral is "partial 18S ribosomal RNA". It matches the Rfam family "Eukaryotic small subunit ribosomal RNA", at positions 42 to 348 of the family's 1831-position model. The record is from RNAcentral. Lineage: Eukaryota; Bigyra; Opalinata; Blastocystidae.